ACGGGCUUCGGUCUGGUGGCGAGUGGCGAACGGGUGAGUAAGGUAUCGGAACGUACCUUUCAGUGGGGGAUAACGUAGCGAAAGUUACGCUAAUACCGCAUAUUCUGUGAGCAGGAAAGCAGGGGAUCGCAAGACCUUGCGCUGAUUGAGCGGCCGAUAUCAGAUUAGCUAGUUGGUGGGGUAAAGGCCUACCAAGGCGACGAUCUGUAGCGGGUCUGAGAGGAUGAUCCGCCACACUGGAACUGAGACACGGUCCAGACUCCUACGGGAGGCAGCAGUGGGGAAUUUUGGACAAUGGGGGCAACCCUGAUCCAGCCAUGCCGCGUGAGUGAAGAAGGCCUUCGGGUUGUAAAGCUCUUUCGGCCGGGAAGAAAUCGCAUGGGCUAAUACCCUGUGUGGAUGACGGUACCGGAAUAAGAAGCACCGGCUAACUACGUGCCAGCAGCCGCGGUAAUACGUAGGGUGCGAGCGUUAAUCGGAAUUACUGGGCGUAAAGCGUGCGCAGGCGGUUUAGUAAGACAGGCGUGAAAUCCCCGGGCUCAACCUGGGAACUGCGCUUGUGACUGCUAAGCUAGAGUAC
This 580-nucleotide ribosomal RNA is filed under the name uncultured Dechloromonas sp. Its description in RNAcentral is "bacterial SSU rRNA". It matches the Rfam family "Bacterial small subunit ribosomal RNA", at positions 73 to 649 of the family's 1533-position model. Lineage: Bacteria; Pseudomonadati; Pseudomonadota; Betaproteobacteria; Rhodocyclales; Azonexaceae. The record is from RNAcentral.